GACAGAGGGGGCAAGCGUUGCUCGGAAUCACUGGGCGUAAAGGGCGCGUAGGCGGGAUGGCAAGUCAGUCGUGAAAUCUCUCGGCUCAACCGAGAAACGUCGGCUGAUACUGCCGUUCUUGAGGGAUGCAGAGGAGACUGGAAUUCCCGGUGUAGCGGUGAAAUGCGUAGAUAUCGAGAGGAACACCUGCGGCGAAGGCGGGUUGCUGGGCUGACACUGACGCUGAUGCGCGAAAGCUAGGGGAGCGAACGGG
Molecule: ribosomal RNA, 253 nt
Filed under: uncultured bacterium
Lineage: Bacteria
Description: partial 16S ribosomal RNA
Rfam family: Bacterial small subunit ribosomal RNA
Source: RNAcentral